Molecule: non-coding RNA, 4052 nt
Organism: Heterocephalus glaber (naked mole-rat)
Lineage: Eukaryota; Metazoa; Chordata; Mammalia; Rodentia; Bathyergidae
Source: RefSeq, a predicted model, not a curated record
GGAGGAAAGAGAAGCAGCACGGGUCCGAGUCUGCAGUGUGGAGGCGGCGGUAGCUGCCUUUCCCAGUCUCGCCUGCAGGGCGCAGCAGCAGCUGCCUGCGGGGCCGCAGUGCGGGCUAACGCAGAGGCGCAGGGACCUCUGGGAAGAUGGCGGAGCGGAGAGUGGCGGUGACACAGCUUCUCUGAGAUUUGGAGUCCGGACGCUGGGAUAUAGCCCCGUGAGGAAGAGAAGAAGGAGGGACGUGGGUCCCGGGACCCAGCAGGGAUCUGAAGCGAGAACUGAAGCCCACGGGAAGAGCGGAGAGAGAGACCUGACGCAGAAGGAGGGCGAGCCCGGGCCUGACUCGCUGUGGGAGGGGCUGGGCCCUGCGGACGCCCGGGCUGCUGGCGACGGAGGCUCGGCGGAGAGGCCUGCGGUGCGGAGCGGCGCGCAGCGAGGACGCGGCGGACGGCUGUGGCUGGUGACUUAUUUGGGCUCAAGACCUUGCACUUGCCAGGCAGGCGCAGAGCUGCUGAGCUACGUCCCUGGCCCCAGGAUUAUCUCUUAAUGCAAAGAAAAUCUGAACAUAAGAGGGUAGGCAGAUCAUACAGCUUUGGCAUUGAGUUCGCAGAAGAAAUCCAGAGAGAAUGGUGUCCCUUUAAUUUCUGUUGAUCUCUAUAUCCUCAAAAUGGGGCACCCCGGAGCAGGUGGCAGCCUCUGGAAGUGGAAGGGAUUGAACUCAGGACCUUGUGCUUGCAAGGCAGGUGUGGUGUCACUGAGCUAAAUCCCCAGCCCAGGUAAGAUGACUUCUUUACCUUCAGCAUUAACAAAAUGCUCAUUUCUAUGGGCUCAACUGAAAGGUCCUUAGUGGGAAUAUGUUGGGGUAGUUUUAGAGAUCCUUCUUUCUCGUAAUUUUACAUGCCUCUAUACAGAAACUGUAACAUCACUGCUUCUUGGCCUUUUGGCUAAGAUCAAGGAAACUGUAAAGUGUCAGGGAGAGAUCAGAAAUGAGACCAGGAAAGGCGAUGUUUUUCAUCUCAUGCUUAUGGUAAGUUAUUGAGACAACUUGCUCCUGAGUCAUCACUCUUAGCCUGGAAAAGCAAGAAUGGGAAAUCUCAAGAGCUAAGAUUAUCUCCUCACCAGCAGAAAGAAGAUCAGACCAGAAAGGAAACAGACAGAACAGGGCCAAGAUUUUCUCAAGUAUAGAGGAGGAUUGAACUGGAACUCAGUGAAACCUGUCCCUCAAGUUUUAAGAAUGGCCAUCAGCCUGUUGUCUUAACUAGUGGAUGAGGUCCUGAGAUUUAUUAGUAGGCGUGCAUAUUUCUCAAAUAUAAAGUAGAUUUCAUUAAAAAACCCAUUUUACAGAAUUUUAUAUUAAAGUCCACUGGGGGCACUCUGUUGCUAUUUUCCUAGCAUUGUUGUCUGAGAUAACAAACCACAGCAGUCAAAAGAGUGAAAUGGGUCAAGCAAGGAACAUCAAAAUAAAUUUAGAAACUAAGUCCAAAGUACAGCAUAUACAGAACAGGAAUGUUACAUUCUUUGAUGGGACAUACCUUACCAUGUUCUCAAAUUUACCAUUGUUAUAAAAAAGGACAAUGGGGCUGGGGAUUUAGCUCAGUGGUUUCCCCACCGGCUGCGCAAGUGCAAGGACCCGAGUUCAGUCCCCAGUACCUCCCAAAAAAUAAAGGACAAUGUAUUUAAGGGAUAAAUUCAAGAUAUCAGUGAUUAACAAAGACAGGGAUGAAUUCAGGCCAUAUGCAAUUAACAAACAAGGAUGACAAUUUUGAUCACCUAAGUGAGUCCCAAGCCAGCGUCUGAACAAAAGCAAACUCUUGGCUCUGUCUAGUGAUCUCAGUGGGACCUCCAAAAUGAUAUAGGGGAACAGAUGUAACUCUCAGCAUGCUAAAUGUCAGAUAGGCGAAGUUGAAGAAUGAAUUUUAAAGAACAAUAGCGGUUAAGAGUAGGAAAAUUUAUUGGGGAAUAGGAGUGAGGAAUAAGAAUAGCUCCUGAGAGACAGUAGGGGUCUCACAUGGGUUGCCAACAAGCCAGCUUCUCAAAAGGUAGUUUUAUAGAGCAAAGUUAUAAGGGGUGGGUACAAUGUGGGUAAAAGCUAUAAUCAACUAAUAAGAUCACAAAUAUAGUUGCUUGGGUAAUACUGAACCCUGGUAACAAGGGUGUGUGGAUGACACCAUUAACCUUGGUCAAUAAUUUGUCCUAGUCUUGGUGGGAGAGGAUGGUCCACUCCCAAUGAGAUAAUGAUCUAUAUGGGGAAGCCCAAAAGGGUGGUACCGAUAAUCUCAAGCUUCUGUUCAUCCCUUAGGGAAGUAUGCAGAUCUGGCCAUUGUGACUUUCAUCUUCAGAUGCACCUCCAGCCACAGCUUCAAUGUGUUCUCAUCCUCUGCAUUGACUUCAGGGCCCAGCCCUGUCUGACUGCCUAUAAUAUUUCUACUUAAUUUAGUUCUGUAUAUCACCAGGAGAGGGCGAUAGCUGGUAGCCAUCUUGUGAGGGCCCAGCUGAGCUUGGAACUCAGAGCACCUGAGGGCUGGCUCCAUCAGGGUGAGGUGGAACCAAGUUCAAGUCGUCAGGAGGUCAAGGAGCCAAGUUCAAGCUGGCAGGAAGCACGUGGAGUGCUGCAGGCUUAAUAAAAUGAGUUCCAGCCUCACAGCCAGAAACCUGCCUGAACUGCAGUGGAGCUAAAGGUGCAGGCUUGCUGGGAUUGUUCUCUACCUUGCUGUAACCCUACAGCUGGCUUUCUGGGAUUAAUUGACAUGGAUCUGGGCUCUGUCUGACCACUGUAUCUACCAUUAACUGCAGAGACACAGCUGAAGUGACAUUUUUUUCUUGAUUUUUUUUGUUUUCUUUUUUCUUAAUUGUUUUUUUGGUACUGGGGAUUGAACUGGGGACCUUUCGUUUGUGAGGCAGGUGCCAGAACCCCUGAGCUAAAUCCUCAGCCCCUGUUUUUGUUUUUAUGUGAAUGUGAACAUUAUUUCUGGUUUUCUUGUGUUGUUCUGUUCUUGUUUUUAUUUCUUCCUUCUUUCUUUCCCUGUCUUCACCAGUUUCCCAAAGUUUGCAUAACCUUUCUUUGUAUUCCAGCCUUGUUUCUAAUCUCUUUGUCUUCUAUUUCUCUAUUUUUCCUUCUAAUCUAUUUUAAAUUUUCUCCCCUAGGGUAAAAUUGCCAUAUCAAAGGCAUGUUAUUAUCUGUAUACAAUUUUCUGGUUUGUUUUAGAUUUUGUUAUAUAAGCACAAAUAUAGCCCAUAUGGUUAAAGGUGGCAAAUUAAUAGUUACCAAAGUUUACCUUUAGGCUGUGUUUGAUGCUAUUAUUGUUGAUUGUACUACGUUAGCCAAAGUGACAUAACUGUUCUGAUCAGUUGUUCUUCCUGGAAUGCCAAGACUAAGAUUGCCUAAGGGUCAUAAAUAAUACUAUAGGCCAGUUCCAAGAACCAGGGUCUAGACUAAAUAGGCAGCAACUUCUCAUCCUCAAUAAAGUGAAGAAAUAGGAUCUCGCAACAGACUCAAAACCCAAAAGCCAGCUACACCUGGAAGACAUCUCUGAGAAAUAGUCAUUCCCCAAGGGUUCGCAAUACUAGCAAUAAAGGUGCUUGGCAUAAGCAAUUUACAAGCAUCAAACCAGGAAUUAAACUAAAAAAAUGGGAAGACAUUUAAGGAAGGUGAAACUCCAGAUUUCCAGCUCACAAAAGGCAAGCCCAGAAGGCAGUGAGGUGGAACAAAUUGAAAACCGUCUGCCUGAAGUCUCAGGAAUGGUAACAGUGAUAAAUGAAGCUCUAGAAAAAUUCAAAUCAGAAUUAAUUUCUGAGUUAACUACAGAGUUGGUGACCAUAAUGAAAGACAUGUUUAGUGAAUACAGAGCACAUACAGAUAAACAAUUAGAAGAACUUGGGAAAAUAAUGGAAACCAUGAAAGCCCAACAUAGGGAAAAAAUGGAAUCCAUGAAACAGAUUCAAACAGAUAUCCAGGAGAUUAAAAAUUCAUUGAAAGUAUCUGCAGAACAAGCCAAUGUGAGGACAGGAAAUCAAAUAUAGAAGAUAGGAUUGUGGUUAGUGAUCAUGAAAAG